Molecule: microRNA precursor, 60 nt
Filed under: Scyliorhinus torazame (cloudy catshark)
Lineage: Eukaryota; Metazoa; Chordata; Chondrichthyes; Carcharhiniformes; Scyliorhinidae
Description: Sto-Mir-17-P4b_pre stem-loop
Rfam family: mir-17 microRNA precursor family
About the family: This family represents the microRNA (miRNA) precursor mir-17, family, which includes mir-20, mir-91, and mir-103. miRNAs are transcribed as ~70nt precursors (modelled here) and subsequently processed by the Dicer enzyme to give a ~22nt product.
Source: RNAcentral
AAAAGUGCUUGUAGUGCAGGUAGUGGUAUUGAAACCUACUGCAGAACAAUCACUUUCAGC